GAUGAACGCUGGCGGCGUGCCUAAUACAUGCAAGUCGAGCGAACAGACGAGGAGCUUGCUUCUCUGACGUUAGCGGCGGACGGGUGAGUAACACGUGGAUAACCUACCUAUAAGACUGGGAUAACUUCGGGAAACCGGAGCUAAUACCGGAUAAUAUUUUGAACCGCAUGGUUCAAUAGUGAAAGACGGUCUUGCUGUCACUUAUAGAUGGAUCCGCGCUGCAUUAGCUAGUUGGUAAGGUAACGGCUUACCAAGGCAACGAUGCAUAGCCGACCUGAGAGGGUGAUCGGCCACACUGGAACUGAGACACGGUCCAGACUCCUACGGGAGGCAGCAGUAGGGAAUCUUCCGCAAUGGGCGAAAGCCUGACGGAGCAACGCCGCGUGAGUGAUGAAGGUCUUCGGAUCGUAAAACUCUGUUAUUAGGGAAGAACACAUGUGUAAGUAACUGUGCACGUCUUGACGGUACCUAAUCAGAAAGCCACGGCUAACUACGUG
RNAcentral lists this ribosomal RNA (497 nucleotides) under uncultured bacterium. RNAcentral describes it as "partial 16S ribosomal RNA". It matches the Rfam family "Bacterial small subunit ribosomal RNA", at positions 28 to 507 of the family's 1533-position model. The record is from RNAcentral.